GAUGAACGCUAGCGGCAGGCCUAACACAUGCAAGUCGAGGGGUAACAUGAGUGCUUGCACUUGAUGACGACCGGCGCACGGGUGCGUAACGCGUAUACAAUCUACCUUGUACUGAGGGAUAGCCCAGAGAAAUUUGGAUUAAUACCUCAUAGUAUGUAGAAGUGGCAUCACUUUUACCUUAAAGGUUACGGUACAAGAUGAGUAUGCGUCCUAUUAGUUAGUUGGUGUGGUAACGGCACACCAAGGCUACGAUAGGUAGGGGCCCUGAGAGGGGGAUCCCCCACACUGGUACUGAGACACGGGACCAGACUCCUACGGGAGGCAGCAGUGAGGAAUAUUGGACAAUGGGCGAGAGCCUGAUCCAGCCAUGCCGCGUGCAGGAAGACUGCCCUAUGGGUUGUAAACUGCUUUUAUACAGGAAGAAACACUCCCUCGUGAGGGAAUUUGACGGUACUGUAAGAUAAGGAUCGGCUAACUCCGUGCCAGCCGCCGCGGUAA
RNAcentral lists this ribosomal RNA (498 nucleotides) under uncultured bacterium. Its description in RNAcentral is "bacterial SSU rRNA". It matches the Rfam family "Bacterial small subunit ribosomal RNA", at positions 28 to 523 of the family's 1533-position model. The record is from RNAcentral.